UACGUAGGGGGCAAGCGUUGUCCGGAUUUAUUGGACGUAAAGAGCGUGUAGGCGGCCAGGUAGGUCCGUUGUGAAAACUCGAGGCUUAACCUCGAGACGUCGAUGGAAACCAUCUGGCUAGAGUCCGGAAGAGGAGAGUGGAAUUCCUGGUGUAGCGGUGAAAUGCGCAGAUAUCAGGAAGAACACCCGUGGCGAAGGCGGCUCUCUGGGACGGUACUGACGCUGAGACGCGAAAGCGUGGGGAGCGAACAGG
This 253-nucleotide ribosomal RNA is filed under the name uncultured bacterium. RNAcentral describes it as "partial 16S ribosomal RNA". It matches the Rfam family "Bacterial small subunit ribosomal RNA", at positions 524 to 776 of the family's 1533-position model. The record is from RNAcentral.